Molecule: ribosomal RNA, 644 nt
Filed under: uncultured bacterium
Lineage: Bacteria
Description: bacterial SSU rRNA
Rfam family: Bacterial small subunit ribosomal RNA
Source: RNAcentral
AGAGUUUGAUCCUGGCUCAGAUUGAACGCUGGCGGCAGGCCUAACACAUGCAAGUCGAACGCGAAAGCACUUCGGUGUGAGUAGAGUGGCGGACGGGUGAGUAACGCGUGGGAAUCUACCUAGUAGUGGAGGAUAACUCGGGGAAACUCGAGCUAAUACUGCAUACGCCCUACGGGGGAAAGCGGGGGAUCUUCGGACCUCGUGCUAUUGGAUGAGCCCGCGUUAGAUUAGCUUGUUGGUGAGGUAAUGGCUCACCAAGGCGACGAUCUAUAGCUGGUCUGAGAGGAUGAUCAGCCACAUUGGGACUGAGACACGGCCCAAACUCCUACGGGAGGCAGCAGUGGGGAAUAUUGCGCAAUGGGCGAAAGCCUGACGCAGCCAUGCCGCGUGUGUGAAGAAGGCCUUCGGGUUGUAAAGCACUUUCAAUAGGGAGGAAAGGUUGUAAUUUAAUAAAUUGCAACUGUGACGUUACCUAUAGAAGAAGGACCGGCUAACUCCGUGCCAGCAGCCGCGGUAAUACGGAGGGUCCGAGCGUUAAUCGGAAUUACUGGGCGUAAAGCGCGCGUAGGCGGCUUUGUUAGUCAGAUGUGAAAGCCCUGGGCUCAACCUAGGAACUGCAUUUGAUACUGCGGAGCUAGAGUAUG